Molecule: ribosomal RNA, 375 nt
Filed under: uncultured bacterium
Lineage: Bacteria
Description: bacterial SSU rRNA
Rfam family: Bacterial small subunit ribosomal RNA
Source: RNAcentral
GUAGUCCACGCAGUAAACUAUGAUUACUAGUUGUUUGCGAUAUGAUAGCAAGUGACUAAGCGAAAGCGAUAAGUAAUCCACCUGGGGAGUACGCCGGCAACGGUGAAACUCAAAGGAAUUGACGGGGGCCCGCACAAGCGGAGGAACAUGUGGUUUAAUUCGAUGAUACGCGAGGAACCUUACCCGGGCUUGAAAUGCAGAGGAAUGACGUGGAAACAUGUCCGCCAGCAAUGGUCUCUGUGUAGGUGCUGCAUGGUUGUCGUCAGCUCGUGCCGUGAGGUGUCGGCUUAAGUGCCAUAACGAGCGCAACCCACAUUGUUAGUUACUAACAGGUCAAGCUGAGGACUCUAACAAGACUGCCAGCGUAAGCUGCGA